ACAGACGGCGCGUAUCCCAGUGCUGGCGCCACCUUUAAGUCCAACGCAGGGAACGGGGAAAAACAGCUCUGGAUUUCUUGCUCGGCGGUAGUGCCGCUACCACCGCUGCGCCCUAGCGCCAGGCCUAAACCUGGAGCUUGUUCCGAGCGGUGCUCCAGCGUGCGGCGCCCCCUCGCCCGGCACCGGCCUCACCACCGCUCGGAACCUCACGGCGGAGCGGCGGGGGGGCGGGUCCUGCUCAGGCUUUUGGCGAUUGGAGCGCCCACCGUGGCUUCGGCCAGGCACUCCGGUCUCUGAGGCACCUGCCCUGGGAGCUCCAAAGGGAGGGCGAGGCCAGGGGUUUGAGACUGAGGCCUUGACACCAAAAAUCCGCUUCCUCGUUCUGAUGCCAGCAGGUUGCAGACCGUUAAUGCUGGAGCAAGAAUAUCACAGAUCUUUUCGGGCUGUUUGCCAAGCUGCCAUACAUAGAACUCCGGAGUAUCCUGCUAGAAAGACCACAUGGAGGAGGAGGCAACAGCCAGUAACCCCAGCUAACUACCAGGCACAUGUAUGGGGCCAUCUUGGACCAUCCAGUCCCAAUCAAGACCCAGAUGACAGCAUUGCAAAGAGUUUCCCACCUUAGGAUUCUGACCCCUGGAACUCCCUAGCGCCAUCAGAAUUAUGGCACGUGGAUUGCUGCUUCACAAUGAAAAGCACGAAAGGCAAUUAGAAAAAUUAAAGAAGACUUAACGGAGAGAAAUACCAAUUAAAGUUUGGUAAACGCAAAGUAUAUGAUGUCUGUUCUCUCUGAAUUAAUCUAUAAAUUCAGCACGAUGUCAAUCAAAAUCC
Non-coding RNA from Leptonychotes weddellii (Weddell seal), 828 nucleotides. The record is from RefSeq and is a predicted model, not a curated record. Lineage: Eukaryota; Metazoa; Chordata; Mammalia; Carnivora; Phocidae.